CGAACGCUGGCGGCGUGCUUAGCACAUGCAAGUCGAACGGUGAAGGGAUCAGCUUGCUGGUUCUGGAUGAGUGGCGAACGGGUGAGUAACACGUGAGUAACCUGCCCCCUUCUUCUGGAUAACCGCAUGAAAGUGUGGCUAAUACGGGAUAUUCUGCGCCUGCUGCAUGGUGGGUGUGGGAAAGAUAUUGUUUCGGUGGGGGAUGGGCUCGCGGCCUAUCAGCUUGUUGGUGGGGUGAUGGCCUACCAAGGCGGUGACGGGUAGCCGGCCUGAGAGGGUGGACGGUCACACUGGGACUGAGACACGGCCCAGACUCCUACGGGAGGCAGCAGUGGGGAAUAUUGCACAAUGGGCGCAAGCCUGAUGCAGCGACGCCGCGUGAGGGAUGGAGGCCUUCGGGUUGUGAACCUCUUUCGCCAGUGAAGCAGGCCUGUCCCUUGUGGGUGGGUUGACGGUAGCUGGAUAAGAAGCGCCGGCUAACUACGUG
This 487-nucleotide ribosomal RNA is filed under the name uncultured bacterium. RNAcentral describes it as "partial 16S ribosomal RNA". It matches the Rfam family "Bacterial small subunit ribosomal RNA", at positions 30 to 507 of the family's 1533-position model. The record is from RNAcentral.